CGCGAAUUGCCCUUCGGGGUGCACCAGGCGCGAAAACUUUACAAUGCUGGAAACAGCGAUAGGGGGACUUUGAGCCCAGGAUACAAUUCUGGCUGUCGUCGUGCCUAAAAAACACGGCAUAGCAAGGGCCGGGCAAGACCGGUGCCAGCCGCCGCGGUAACACCGGCGGCUCGAGUGGUAACCGCUAUUAUUGGGUCUAAAGGGUCUGUAGCCGGCUGAAAAAGUCUCUUGGGAAAUCCGGCAGCUUAACUGUCGGGCUUUCAGGAGAUACUCUUCGGCUCGAGACCGGGAGAGGUGAGAGGUACUUCAUGGGUAGGGGUGAAAUCUUGUAAUCCUUGAAGGACCACCAGUGGCGAAGGCGUCUCACCAGAACGGAUCUGACGGCAAGGGACGAAAGCUAGGGGCACGAACCGGAUUAGAUACCCGGGUAGUCCUAGCCGUAAACGAUACUCGCUAGGUGUCGGCCACGGUGCGACCGUGGUCGGUGCCGUAGGGAAGCCGUGAAGCGAGCCACCUGGGAAGUACGGCCGCAAGGCUGAAACUUAAAGGAAUUGGCGGGGGAGCAC
This 566-nucleotide ribosomal RNA is filed under the name uncultured archaeon. Its description in RNAcentral is "bacterial SSU rRNA". It matches the Rfam family "Archaeal small subunit ribosomal RNA", at positions 312 to 879 of the family's 1478-position model. The record is from RNAcentral.